UUAAUUAGAAGUGGUGUACAGGUGAGUAAAUGAUAUUCUGGCUACCUAAGAGUUAAGGUAAACAAAUGCCUUAAAUUAUACAUUAUAUAGGGAUGGGUAGGUAUAAGAGAAAAAUAUUUUCGCUCUUAGAUGUAAAUUAAUAUCUCGGACAGGUAAUAUUUAAGGUAAUGGCUUAAAUAGCUUAUGUCCGUAGUCGAGACUGAGAGGUCGAUCGACCACAUUGGGUCUGAAAAAACCCCAAUGCGCAUCGUACAGCAGUGAGGAAUCUUGGUCAAUGGCCAACGGCUGAACCAGCAACUUGGAGGAAUGUAUAUAUAUAUAUUAAUUACAAUGCAAUAUAUAUAAACCGACAAUACGGUUAAAGUUCUGGAUAGAAUACUGAUAAUGACAUUUUUCUAUCUAUAUGUCUUGACCAAAUUUUGUGCCAGCAGUCGCGGCAACACAAAGGAGACAGCGUUAUUCAUCUUUAUUAGGUUUAAAGGGUACCUAGACGGCAUAUCAAGCCCCAAAAGGGAACGGAUAUACUAGAGUUUUAUGUGAGAGGCCUAUAGAACCAUUGGAGUAGAGAUAAAAUUUUAGGAUACCAUUGGGACUGGUAACGGCGAAGGCAAUCCUCUAUGUAAUAACUGACGUUGAGGGACGAAGGCUUGGGUAAUGAAUAGGAUUAGAUACCCUAGUAGUCCAAGCAGAUAAUUAUGAAUGUCAUAGAUUAGUUAGAUAGAGUUAGAUAAAUCUAGGUUUAAUCUAGCUCCAAGAUAUAGUAAAUCAAUAAUAUCAUUGUUUAAUCUAUAUAUUGAUCUAUAAAUGAAAGUGUAAGCAUUCCACCUCAAGAGUAAGGCGGCAACGUUGGAACUGAAAUCAUUAGACCGUUUCUGAAACCAGUAGUGAAGUAUGUGUGCGACAAGAAGCGGAUAUUAGUAAUGUGGUGUGAUCCCACUAGGUUUUCUCUGCCUAACACUACCUACACAUGCAGGAGAGUAAUUGAAUGUGUGAAGCUGUAGGAACAAUGUAGCCUGUAUUAAAUUACAAUGUAAAUAUAGUUAUUUUAAUUCGAUAACCCUCGAACAACCUUACCACAGUUUGAAUGUUGAUUAAAAAAUUAACACAGGCGUUGCAUGGCUGUAUUCAGUUGAUGUCGUGAGAUAUGGUUGGAUCCAUUAAAAUUAGCGUAAACCCUUGUUCAUUAUUUGUUCUAAUAAUACCGUUAACCGAUAUAGUGGAUAAUAUAAUAGGGACUAAUACAAGUCAUCAUGACCUUAACGCUGUGGGCUAUAGACGUGCUGCAUGUUCCUCUACAAAGGGAUGCAAAAGUGUGAACUUGAGCUAACCCCCAAAAGAGGAUAUAUAUUGGAUUGUAGUCUGAAAUUCGACUACAUGAAUUAGGAAUUACUAGUAAUCGUGUGUAAUCACAGCACGGUGAAUUUACUCUCAGUCAGGUACUAACCACUCGUCAGGCGCUGAAAGGGGUAUGCGCAAUAAGUUUGAUUUUGCAGUUAAACAUUUUUGUAUAAGUAAUAGGGCUUAUAUUGUUUAACACAUAAUUUUCGUAUGCGUGACCUUGAUUGGUGUUAAGUCGAAAUAAGGUUCGGGUUGGGGAACUAGCCCGGG
This 1608-nucleotide ribosomal RNA is filed under the name Phyllosticta yuccae. The record is from RNAcentral. Lineage: Eukaryota; Fungi; Ascomycota; Dothideomycetes; Botryosphaeriales; Phyllostictaceae.